CUAUGAGUUUGGAACCCUGAACAGACCGCCGGUGUUAACCCGCGUUGCUGCGUUUAUCCGAGUGAUCCACAAACGACGAAAAUCCCUCUUUUGCCUACCUCUAUCUCGAUGAGAGGAAACAAAAGCUCUUUUUACCUGUUGGGUAAUCAUUCGAUUAAGUCUUAAAUGAGCCCCUCUAAAGUUUGAGGCAAAUGAACGCAUUUUUGUUCGUCGUCUCCGGGCAAC
This 225-nucleotide ribosomal RNA is filed under the name Triticum aestivum (bread wheat). RNAcentral's name for it is "partial small subunit ribosomal RNA". The record is from RNAcentral. Lineage: Eukaryota; Viridiplantae; Streptophyta; Magnoliopsida; Poales; Poaceae.